RNAcentral lists this non-coding RNA (45 nucleotides) under Schistosoma margrebowiei. The record is from RNAcentral. Lineage: Eukaryota; Metazoa; Platyhelminthes; Trematoda; Strigeidida; Schistosomatidae.
AUUCAGCUGACAAGUCAUAAAUCGGACGAAACGUGCGUCCUGGAU